This 460-nucleotide ribosomal RNA is filed under the name uncultured bacterium. RNAcentral's name for it is "partial 16S ribosomal RNA". It matches the Rfam family "Bacterial small subunit ribosomal RNA", at positions 338 to 795 of the family's 1533-position model. The record is from RNAcentral.
CCUACGGGAGGCAGCAGUGAGGAAGAUUGGUCAAUGGACGAGAGUCUGAACCAGCCAAGUAGCGUGAAGGAUGACUGCCCUAUGGGUUGUAAACUUCUUUUAUAUGGGAAUAAAAUGUUCCACGUGUGGGAUUUUGUAUGUACCAUAUGAAUAAGGAUCGGCUAACUCCGUGCCAGAAGCCGCGGUAAUACGGAGGUGCCGGGCGUUAUCCGGAUUUAUUGGGUUUAAAGGGAGCUUAGGUGGAUUGUUAAGUCAGUUGUGUAUGUUUGCGGCUCAACCGUAAAAUUGCAGUUGAAACUGGCAGUCUUGAGUACAGUAUAGGUGGGCGGAAUUCGUGGUGUAGCGGUGAAAUGCUUAGAUAUCACGAAGAACUCCGAUUGCGAAGGCAGCUCACUGGACUGCAACUGACACUGAGGCUCGAAAGUGUGGGUAUCAAACAGGAUUAGAUACCCUUGUAGUC